GAACCACAUAUUAGUAUUUUCUAUGCUUUAUUGUAUUUUUCUUUAUUUUGUUGACUAUUUCCCCAUUAGAUAUUAAUCCAGCGCAGGCUGCACUUGGGACCUGUGUAGGAGACAUCAGAUUAAGCACCCCAGUCCAGGAAUUGGGUUGACGAUACCAACGAUCAAGAGGAGGCUUAAUUAGAGUCCCUCUGCUAAAGGCAGUGUUCUCAGGUCCUUCUGCCACCAGAGAGGGAGACUCAUUUCAUGCCACUUCACUGCUGUCACAUAGAGAAGUGACAGCACUUGUCACUACCAAUCUCUUAAUGUCUGGUCUCAUCUGAGUCAGUGCCGGGGAGACGCACAGCCCGUUUUUUCCAGGUGUUUGUUGAAACAGCAAGUUGUGCAACAUGUCUGAGCUGUGUUCCGUACCAAGAAGGAAGGCACCACAGGUAUCUCUGUACUCAAAAAAGGAAGAAAAAUGCCGUCCGCUGACUGUUUCCUACCCAUGAACUAAGAAUCUUCAGGAACAUAGCAGCAGAAAUAGCACCUUUGCAAGGAACGUGGACAAUACCUAUGCAUUAAGAGUGCAGUUGCCUACAAGUGUCCAAUGUGUGAGUCCUUUCCUACUAGAGUUAAUUGAAUAGAAAUAAAGAUUUAUUAAGCUAGUUGAUGAAGACA
Molecule: long non-coding RNA, 657 nt
Filed under: Monodelphis domestica (gray short-tailed opossum)
Lineage: Eukaryota; Metazoa; Chordata; Mammalia; Didelphimorphia; Didelphidae
Description: lncRNA (ENSMODG00000035659.2)
Source: RNAcentral